AGCUUUGCGCAGUGGCAGUAUCGUAGCCAAUGAGGUUUAUCCGACGCGCGAUUAUUGCUAAAAGAAUGUAGCUCUAUGAGGUCAGGAAUAUGUUGACAUAUCAUCAACCUUUGUGUCCUCAGAAA
This 125-nucleotide small nuclear RNA is filed under the name Tupaia belangeri chinensis (Chinese tree shrew). RNAcentral describes it as "Tupaia chinensis (Chinese tree shrew) U4 spliceosomal RNA". It matches the Rfam family "U4 spliceosomal RNA". Rfam says of the family: U4 small nuclear RNA (U4 snRNA) is a component of the major U2-dependent spliceosome. The structure of U4 snRNA from yeast and human has been reported. U4 snRNA presents a k-turn RNA motif in the 5p-SL related to recognition of Snu13 protein. Lineage: Eukaryota; Metazoa; Chordata; Mammalia; Scandentia; Tupaiidae. The record is from Rfam by way of RNAcentral.